This 647-nucleotide ribosomal RNA is filed under the name uncultured Pseudomonadota bacterium. RNAcentral's name for it is "bacterial SSU rRNA". It matches the Rfam family "Bacterial small subunit ribosomal RNA", at positions 48 to 684 of the family's 1533-position model. Lineage: Bacteria; Pseudomonadati; Pseudomonadota. The record is from RNAcentral.
CUAACACAUGCAAGUCGAACGGUAACAGGAAGAAGCUUGCUUCUUUGCUGACGAGUGGCGGACGGGUGAGUAAUGUCUGGGAAACUGCCUGAUGGAGGGGGAUAACUACUGGAAACGGUAGCUAAUACCGCAUAACGUCGCAAGACCAAAAAGGGGGACCUUCGGGCCUCUUGCCAUCGGAUGUGCCCAGAUGGGAUUAGCUAGUAGGUGGGGUAACGGCUCACCUAGGCGACGAUCCCUAGCUGGUCUGAGAGGAUGACCAGCCACACUGGAACUGAGACACGGUCCAGACUCCUACGGGAGGCAGCAGUGGGGAAUAUUGCACAAUGGGCGCAAGCCUGAUGCAGCCAUGCCGCGUGUAUGAAGAAGGCCUUCGGGUUGUAAAGUACUCUCAGCGGGGAGGAAGGGAGUAAAGUUAAUACCUUUGCUCAUUGACGUUACCCGCAGAAGAAGCACCGGCUAACUCCGUGCCAGCAGCCGCGGUAAUACGGAGGGUGCAAGCGUUAAUCGGAAUUACUGGGCGUAAAGCGCACGCAGGCGGUUUGUUAAGUCAGAUGUGAAAUCCCCGGGCUCAACCUGGGAACUGCAUCUGAUACUGGCAAGCUUGAGUCUCGUAGAGGGGGGUAGAAUUCCAGGUGUAGCGGUGA